Molecule: ribosomal RNA, 547 nt
Filed under: uncultured bacterium
Lineage: Bacteria
Description: bacterial SSU rRNA
Rfam family: Bacterial small subunit ribosomal RNA
Source: RNAcentral
UGGGGAAUAUUGCGCAAUGGGGGGAACCCUGACGCAGCCAUGCCGCGUGAAUGAAGAAGGCCUUAGGGUUGUAAAGUUCUUUCGGUAUUGAGGAAGGUUGAUGUGUUAAUAGCACAUCAAAUUGACGUUAAAUACAGAAGAAGCACCGGCUAACUCCGUGCCAGCAGCCGCGGUAAUACGGAGGGUGCGAGCGUUAAUCGGAAUAACUGGGCGUAAAGGGCACGCAGGCGGUUAUUUAAGUGAGGUGUGAAAGCCCCGGGCUUAACCUGGGAAUUGCAUUUCAGACUGGGUAGCUAGAGUACUUUAGGGAGGGGUAGAAUUCCACGUGUAGCGGUGAAAUGCGUAGAGAUGUGGAGGAAUACCGAAGGCGAAGGCAGCCCCUUGGGAAUGUACUGACGCUCAUGUGCGAAAGCGUGGGGAGCAAACAGGAUUAGAUACCCUGGUAGUCCACGCUGUAAACGCUGUCGAUUUGGGGGUUGGGGUUUAACUCUGGCGCCCGUAGCUAACGUGAUAAAUCGACCGCCUGGGGAGUACGGCCGCAAGGUUA